This is a long non-coding RNA of Danio rerio (zebrafish), 1963 nucleotides long. Lineage: Eukaryota; Metazoa; Chordata; Actinopteri; Cypriniformes; Danionidae. The record is from Ensembl.
GACUUUUUUUGUCAUUUCAUGUUUGUAAAAUUCCCAUUUACAAGAAAUUCCAUUCAAUAAAACCACAAAGAGCCUCCAAGUGUAGUUAAUACUCAUCAAACCUUAUAGUACCUCAUCAACAGAGCGGCGGUUCAGUUCACAAGCUCUCAGAAGCAAAAACAAACUGAUGUUCGUUCACCACUUUAACCACCAGCGCUCGAGUUCCGCUCAUGGAAACCUGCACGAGUGCACUUGAUAGUGUGAAAUUUACUGCAGCACAUGCAAAAGACACAUCCAGUCUGGCUUCUAAACCAUCCACCAUUGGCAGAUUUCGAUCAUAUCUCUCUCGCCGUGAAAAUCUAAAGGCCAUGAGUCUGUUUGCCAGCCUGAAGAGGAAGUUGUAGCAGUGUAGUGUGUUUUAGUCUGUGGUUAACGCAGCAUUUUUACUCUCUCCAGAGCUGUCAGUUGGCAGAAAGUCGAACGCUGGUCUUCAAGAACAACACUUUUAUACCUCUUUCCUUGUUUUUGAGCUCUUUGGAUUGAGCUUCAGAUUGCAAGCCAUGCACUCAAGUUCGUAUCCCAGUCUCAGCGCCCAGCUCUUCCUCUUCCUUGUCCCCGGCCUCCAUUCCAGAAGACGUCUUCUUCAGCAGUUCUCCUGAGGAGAAGAGGAACUUCUUGGCUGAGAGUGACGAGUGCAGCAGUGAGGAGGACCUUUUAGACCUCUGCCCUUCCCUGAGAGAUUCAGAAUAUUUCAGAGACCUGCAACUCGGAUCAACCGAGCCACCAAACACACAACCUACAGCCUUGAACGCACCCAACAAGAGUCCUACUUCUUUGAUACCUCUUCUGUCGACACCAGAAAGCGAAUCCGACCAGGAUUUCACAGAGUCAGACACCCAGCAACUUUUGCAGAUAGACCACACUUUGAUUUCCAGCAUGGAUCGCUUGAUUGCUGUCAAAACCUCAGAGUCUCAGGAUUAUCCGCCGUCGGACCAAGAUGAGGACUCAGACAUGGAUACCUUUCCUAUAUUGGUUAGAUCAAUGUCCACAUCUCGUAGGCACAGCUGGGAAUGUCCAGUGUCUCCGAUUGACCUUGGAAGAAGGUAUGACUCACUUUUUCAGUAGUCCUAAAGAGUUAAAGUGGUUGGACACAUUUUAAAUUUCUAAGGCUACAUUUACACGACAAUGAUGUAGCCAAAAAAGUUUUUCUCUUGCACUUAAAAAAAAAACGGUUUAGACAUUCUAUAAAUCAAUGAUGUAUUACGCAUACCAUGCCAGAAUUCGGUCAAUUUUUUAUCAGCAGUAUCUGUAAGGAAGUGAUAAUGUACCACCUGGUGGAUCGGUGCUGAUGUGUAUAUAGAAUUUGCCGGGUUGUCCAAGAUGCACCUUUUGGUUGUAAUGUGAAGUAAAUCCAGACUUUGUUAAUGAAGCAUUACCAAACCCUUAAGCAACAACAACACUACCACAUACUCCACCAUUGUUGUGUGUUUGUUUGCUCUUGCACCUACACCUUUCUACAAAUGUACAAUGCAUAUGCAAGAUGUCAGUUUGUAAAGACUUUCAUGUUUGAGUGCAUGUUGUCUGUUUGGAUCACACCAAUGUAAACAUUGCAUGGUUAUGUGUGUAGGUUCAGCUUAGACACUGCCGGAAUUGACAGCGAUGGGGAAAGAGAAGUCCAGUGUCUGGCCAAAAGUUCCCUUUUACCAUCAUCCUCCUUCUCCGAAAGUUCAGUGGAAGAAGCAACCAGUGCUGUUGAAAGUGAAAGUCCUAAAACACAAGUAACUAUCCUUAGUCAAGUAUGAUGAAAACAGUAUUUUAGUAUAAGCAGAGCAAGGCACUCAUUCUGGAGGGCUACUGUCCUGCAGAGCUUACUGGGGUUGCAAGGAAGCUAAUGCUCCAGGAACAGAGUUGGAUACCCCUGUAGAUACUGUUAAAGUUAAAUAGGAAGUCGGAAUAGUUCACCAAAAAAUUGAAAUGACCCCAU